This is a non-coding RNA of Phaeosphaeriaceae sp. PMI808, 74 nucleotides long. Lineage: Eukaryota; Fungi; Ascomycota; Dothideomycetes; Pleosporales; Phaeosphaeriaceae. The record is from the annotation of a GenBank genome assembly.
GGUCGCUUAGCUCAGUUGGUUAGAGCGUGGUGCUAAUAACGCCAAGGUCGCGCGUUCGACCCGCGUAGUGACCA